Long non-coding RNA from Brienomyrus brachyistius, 814 nucleotides. RefSeq lists it as uncharacterized. The record is from RefSeq and is a predicted model, not a curated record. The transcript is spliced from 4 exons. Lineage: Eukaryota; Metazoa; Chordata; Actinopteri; Osteoglossiformes; Mormyridae.
UCAGAAGUCCUGAAAGAUCUCCUGUUGGGAUAAUAGGAAGGACAGCAAAGUUUGCCACAAUGGGCUUUCCUAAUUAGCGGGCCACUUCCAAAUGACAUAUGUUCAAGUAGCAAGACAGCAACAUAAAGCAGCUUGAGCCCAAAGACAAUGGUAUCUGUUUAUCAUAAUGCCAAAGAGUAGUAACAUGCAGAUGGAGGACUAUUCUGCAGGUGACAGCAGCUGUACGGUGGUCCAGGGCUGAAGUACAGCUGAUAUGCAGUGCCGUGAUGAGGAGCGCUGCUCUUGUGUAAACAAGCUGUCAUGGGGACAAUAAAUACAUUUAAGGUUAGAGGUAUGUCCGCAGACACUCAGGAGAAAAAACGUGAUGCUCUGGCAAGUUAUUGACUACUGAAUGCCCUUUGUGAGGAGAUCUGCGUGACUGAGCUGACAGCAUUCGGAACUGUUCUGCGGUCCUUCCUCAGAUCCUGUAUCCCUCGGAAAGGUUGCAGCAACCUCUUCGGGAGGCUACACAAAAGAUGACCUUACUGAACACAACCCACAAUUUGCAGUGUCUGAACUCUUCAGGCAUGCACACAAUCGGCAUGUUUGACAUCAAAAAUGGCAUCAAGCAAGGAAAAGCACCACAGUGAAUUAUACUGCUGGAUCAUCGAUGCACUGGGGCUGAUUGGCUGCUGCUAUAUGUCCGAAAGCUCAGUUUCUCCUGCCAGAAUGUUAACACUUGGCCAUAGAUCAGUAAGACAAUGACCCCAGAUAUUCAUGAAAAUAUAUUAAAAAAAUGAUUGAAGGACCGCAAAGCUUAGGUUUUUCAAUGGUU